ACAGUCGAGCUUCAAUACCCACAGAGAAAGGAUGCCGGUAUUUUGUGCAGCCUACGGUUGUAAUAACCGGCGCAACAAUGACACCAGAUCGCGGGGAAUUACCUUUCACAAAUUUCCCAAAGAUGAAAAGUUGAGGAGUCAGUGGGAAGUUGUGUUGAGAAGGAAGGGGUUUACUGCCACAGAGUCAUCCAAGCUCUGCAGUAAGCACUUCAAGCCGAAUGAAUUUGACAGGACGGGUCAGAUUGUCCGGCUUAGAGAUGGUGCUAUACCAUCUGUGUUCAACUUCCCGUCUCAUCUCCAAAGACCAGUAGCAACCAGGACCACAAAAGCUUCGAGGAAAGCUGAAAAGAGCCCACAAGUGGACCUUCCUCAGCAUUUCCUUGAAAGUGAACCUCAGCCCAAUGUUGACCACACCUAUGCAUUGCCUGAUUCCCCCACUCAUCUAAAGGCCAGACUCACUGAAGCUUUGGCUAAAGUGGAGAGUCUGGAGCGAGAGAAGCAGAAUGCCAAGAAAAGAGAAUGGAGGGCAAAGAAAACAAUCGAGAGUCUUCUGGAGGAUCUGAAGAAAAAGAACCUCAUAACUGAUGAGCUGAAGGAAGAGGCUUGAUUUCUACUCAGAUCUUCAGAUAGAUCUCCUUUCCAAGCGGGGGCAAGAAUACACAAAGGACCAGUGAGACUUUGCCCUCACACUCCACCUCCAUGGUCCAAAAAUGUACACCUACCUGAGGGAGUCUCUGCACCUUCCCCUCCCACAUCCACAUACAUUGCAAAGGUGGAUGAAAUCGGUGGAUGCCAAGCUUGGACUCAACAUGAUGAUGUUGGACAUGUUGCAGAAAAGGCAUGAAGAAGAUCCAACUAAAUAUGGUUGUGUGGCACUCAUGUUGGAUGCCAUGGCCAUCAAAAAACAUGUGCAGUACAACCCCCAUAUGCAAAAAAUGUCUGGAUUUGUGAAUAUGGGGGAUGGCACUUGAUGAGACUGAUGUAGCCUCUGAAGUGCUUGUUUUUAUGGUGUAUGUUUUAUGCUAUACUAUGUUUUGUAUUAUGUAUAUUGUGUUUAUACAGUAUAUAUGUUUAUACAGGGUUGAGGUGAAUAAAAGAACUGUGUUGUGACCUAAAUAACAUACUUUUGCUAUCUCCAGAAAGUAUUACAGCAUGAAAUCCCGCAUUUUUAAUUUACGAAAGCAUCCUGUAUCAUAACUACAUGUGUGCCGUUUGUAACAAACCAAACCGCUUGAAAAUCAGUUGAAAAUUCAGUGAGUUAUUCUAUUUUACUCAUUCUACUUGUGCAUACAGCUCCUUCCUCAAUAGAAGUUUGUUUUGUUUUUUUUUUUAAUUGUGCGACACACAAGACCUUACAUACAGACAUACGCCCAUAGAUACUUACAAACCUACAUGGGGUGCAGAGAUACACACAAAGCAAGAGUAAAAAAACAACAAAAACAGCCAGAGGCCUUUACAGAUCACUUCCACAAAAUUUCUCCAUAAUAGAGUAUGUUUUUGCGGCUUUCUUAUUUCUAAUGUCCUUGAUUGUGGCAGCAUAAUGGUGCAGUUCUUGUCGAAAGGGUACAAUGUUUGGUUUAGAUUUGACCCAUUUGUUUUUAUGGAUGUGAAAUUUCCCCAAACUCAAGAUCAACUGACAGAAAAACACAAAUCUUUGUCUUGGUCAUCAAAAUAAAUAAAAAUGUGUUUUUCCUGGAAA
Molecule: non-coding RNA, 1699 nt
Organism: Epinephelus lanceolatus (giant grouper)
Lineage: Eukaryota; Metazoa; Chordata; Actinopteri; Perciformes; Serranidae
Source: RefSeq, a predicted model, not a curated record